This 199-nucleotide ribosomal RNA is filed under the name uncultured Leptolinea sp. Its description in RNAcentral is "partial 16S ribosomal RNA". It matches the Rfam family "Bacterial small subunit ribosomal RNA", at positions 1184 to 1382 of the family's 1533-position model. Lineage: Bacteria; Bacillati; Chloroflexota; Anaerolineae; Anaerolineales; Anaerolineaceae. The record is from RNAcentral.
GUCAAGUCAGCAUGGCCUUUAUAUCCUGGGCUACACACACGCUACAAUGGCCAACACAAUAGGUUGCUAAGCCGCGAGGUGGAGCCAAUCCAUAAAGUUGGUCUCAGUUCAGAUUGUAGGCUGCAACCCGCCUGCAUGAAGAUGGAGUUGCUAGUAACCGCAGGUCAGCUAUACUGCGGUGAAUACGUUCCCGGGCCUU